Molecule: ribosomal RNA, 1337 nt
Filed under: metagenome
Description: bacterial LSU rRNA
Rfam family: Bacterial large subunit ribosomal RNA
Source: RNAcentral
GUUCCAAGGAACCGAAGUACUUGAUUCCAUGCUUCCAAGAAAAGCGUCUAGAAAGAGAAGUAGUGCCCGUACCGUAAACCGACACAGGUAGGUGAGGAGAGAAUCCUAAGGCCGGCGGAAGAAUCACAGUUAAGGAACUAGGCAAAUUGACCCCGUAACUUCGGGAUAAGGGGUGCCUGCGCGAGCAGGUCGCAGAGAAUAGGCCCAAGCAACUGUUUAGCAAAAACACAGGUCUCUGCUAAAGCGAAAGCUGAUGUAUAGGGGCUGACGCCUGCCCGGUGCUGGAAGGUUAAGGGGAACACUUAGCGCAAGCGAAGGUGUGAACUUAAGCCCCAGUAAACGGCGGCCGUAACAAUAACGGUCCUAAGGUAGCGAAAUUCCUUGUCAGGUAAGUUCUGACCCGCACGAAUGGCGUAAUGAUUUGGGCACUGUCUCAACUGUGAAUCCGGCGAAGUUGUAGUGCGAGUGAAGAUGCUCGCUACCCGCGAUUGGACGGAAAGACCCCGUAGAGCUUUACUGUAGCUUAGCAUUGAAUUUCGGUAUUGUCUGUACAGGAUAGGUGGGAGACUGGGAAACCAGAGCGUCAGCUUUGGCGGAGUCACCCUUGGGAUACCACCCUGAUAGUACUGAGGUUCUAACUGGAUGCCAUGAAUCUGGUGACAGGACAUUGUUAGGUGGGCAGUUUGACUGGGGCGGUCGCCUCCGAAAGUGUAACGGAGGCGCCCAAAGGUUCCCUCAGAACGGUCGGAAAUCGUUCGAAGAGUGCAAAGGCAGAAGGGAGCCUGACUGCGACACCCACAAGUGGAGCAGGGACGAAAGUCGGGCUUAGUGAUCCGGUGGUACCUCGUGGGAGGGCCAUCGCUCAACGGAUAAAAGCUACCUCGGGGAUAACAGGCUGACCUCCCCCAAGAGUCCACAUCGACGGGGAGGUUUGGCACCUCGAUGUCGGCUCGUCGCAUCCUGGGGCUGAAGUAGGUCCCAAGGGUUGGGCUGUUCGCCCAUUAAAGCGGCACGCGAGCUGGGUUCAGAACGUCGUGAGACAGUUCGGUCCCUAUCCGUCGCGGGCGUAGGAAAUUUGAGAGGAGCUGUCCUUAGUACGAGAGGACCGGGAUGGACUGACCUCUGGUGCACCAGUUGUUCCGCCAGGAGCACAGCUGGGUAGCUAAGUCGGGAAGGGAUAAACGCUGAAAGCAUCUAAGCGUGAAGCCCACCUCAAGAUAAGAUUUCCCAUAGCAUAAGCUAGUAAGACCCCUUGAAGAACACAAGGUUGAUAGGUCAGAGGUGUAAGUGUGGUAACAUAUUUAGCUGACUGAUACUAAUAGGUCGAGGGCUUGACC